GAUGAACGCUAGCGGCAGGCCUAACACAUGCAAGUCGAGGGGCAGCACAGAAACAGCAAUGUUUUGGUGGCGACCGGCGGACGGGUGCGCAACGCGUAUGCAACCUACCUUUAACAGGGGGAUAACGGAGAGAAAUUUCCACUAAUACCCCAUAACAUCGAUCAAGGCAUCUUGAUUGGUUGAAAACUCCGGUGGUUAAAGAUGGGCAUGCGUUGUAUUAGGUAGUUGGUGAGGUAAUGGCUCACCAAGCCUACGAUACAUAGGGGGACUGAGAGGUUAGCCCCCCACACUGGUACUGAGACACGGACCAGACUCCUACGAGAGGCAGCAGUGAGGAAUAUUGGUCAAUGGGGGCAACCCUGAACCAGCCAUGCCGCGUGCAGGAAGACGGCUCUAUGAGUUGUAAACUGCUUUUAAACAGGGAUAAAGCACAGUAUGUAUACUGUGUUGAAGGUACUGUAAGAAUAAGGAUCGGCUAACUCCGUGCCAGCAGCCGCGGUAA
This 502-nucleotide ribosomal RNA is filed under the name uncultured bacterium. RNAcentral's name for it is "partial 16S ribosomal RNA". It matches the Rfam family "Bacterial small subunit ribosomal RNA", at positions 28 to 523 of the family's 1533-position model. The record is from RNAcentral.